CACCUCCAGGGACAGAGCAUCCACAGCCUCUCUGGGCAGCCUGUGCCAGCACCUCACCACUCUCUCUGUAAAGAGCUUCCCCCGGACAUCCAAUCGAAACCUUCCCUCCUUCAGCUUAAAACCACUCCGCCUUGUCCUAUCACCAUCCACCACAGUAAGAAGUUAGUUCCCCUCCUGUCUAUAAUCCCCUUUUAAACACUAACUCACAUCUACGGAGCGAGCCGCGUAUGCACCAGUUCUGCGACAGUUACAGCAAACGAACGGAACCGACCUAUUUCCCUAUUUUGCACCACUGGAGGGCGUUCCUUUCCCUUGCACAACUGAGAGCAGCAGGCAGGCGGCGGAGGCGCUGCAGGAAGGUUUGCGCUGCUUUAUCAGCAUCCCCGUGACACCGACCCACGGCAAUUAAAAUGAACAAGAAACCCUAAAACAAGGUGUUGCACGGACAACAGAUCGUCAGCAUCUCCAAGCUGCUCCCAUCGGUCGGCAUUCGCUGGCAGCUGCGCAACAGUUUGGUGGCACCUUUGCAUCCCAUGAUUUGGAAAGGCUCCCAGUUUCCAGGGUGAAGGUUUGUGCAACAUACAGGACGGGACGAGGAGGAACCAGCUAUAAGCACACCCGGCGGCAUUCACCCAGAGCGUACAGCGAAGGAAGAAACUUGCACAUCAGUCUGAGAUAUGGAACUGGCACGUUAGCAUCAGAUCACUGGCAAAUAGUGACAGCCCUCUGCAACGACGUUCACCCUCCUGAAAGAGUCCUAGAAGCUGGCAUGCUGAAUGGAACACUACCCACUUAAACGAAGGAGCUGGGCCAGACAAAAGCAUUUGGCUGAGCAACCUGGAACAAGAAGUUGAAAAACUUCUUCUAAAGAUGGACUGGUUAAUAAGCGAAGAACCAGUGGUUGCUGAACAGAGCGUUCGUUCUGAGCUGGAGGAGAACGCCGUACCUCAGAGCUGCAGAUUUGGCCUGCUGUGCCCAAAAGGCAAUGAUACACGCUCACCUCUAAAUCAAGGGAACUAUUAAUCCAUACCCAGAUGUAAGCUCCGUGCUUACAUCAAGGGAACACAAUUUAACCAACCUAAUCCCAUGAAAUCUUUACUCCAAGUUUCUGAGGGUUGCCUGUCCAAGAGCUAAAGCUUACAUAGGCACUUGUAUUCAAUUUCACAUAGCAUUAAAAAGUCUUUUGCUUAAGAAAAAAAUGAAAGUUAAUUUCUAUACGUUGCAUUCAGACACUAAAAGUUUCUUCUGCUUCAGUUCCCGAAUAUUUGAAACUCUACAAAAGCCUCAUAUUUGCUGAUAGGUCAAAAAAGUGAAAGGUCAAGAGUUCAUCGAAAACAUGAGCCAGACCAGCAAUGCUGACAACUGACACGGUGACAAGUGAGGGACAAAUACAUCAGAUAAGGUAGAAGAUACUUGGACUCUCACUCCCGUCCAUGGAGGAGGCUAAAUGCAGUGUGAAGACCGCAUGCUACUCAUUCUUGACAUAGGGCAAGCACACUACUGGAAGACAGAAAGCUUAUAGCAUCGGAAAGCAGCAUCUCCCAAACAAGCAAAUGCUGGAUUUCAACUGCAUCCAGUUGCAGACCCUCAUGAUUCCAAGCCGAUUUCUGGAGGUCCAUUGCCCCAGUGCAGUGGGGGCAAAACAGAUAUGCACAGAUGAAAGAUGACCACAUCCACAAGCAUGAAGGGGAGAGUGAGGCUGGGUGGAAAAAAAGAGGGAAAACAAAACAAAGCAAAAAAAUAAACCAGGUCAAAAAAAAAAGAAAAA
Molecule: long non-coding RNA, 1768 nt
Organism: Numida meleagris (helmeted guineafowl)
Lineage: Eukaryota; Metazoa; Chordata; Aves; Galliformes; Numididae
Exons: 2
Source: RefSeq, a predicted model, not a curated record